GCGAGGCAGUCGUCAGUCAGUUGGCCAAGAAACUGGUAGCGUCGGUGUUGUGAGCCAACAAAAGGCUGGCAGCAGCUGGGCAGCUGGCACCGUCUACCGGUGCCCACAGGGGCGUAUUGGCUUUGGCUGGCAUUGUUGGCUUUUGAGUUUUUGAGCGACGCGUAGCCAGCCAAGAAAAGUGGCCAGCCAGCCAGCCAGCCAGCAAAGUCAAGUGAGCAGUGAGCCAACAAUUACUGCUGGCCAAUGCCACCAAAGCCAGAGGUGGUGAUGGUCCAAGAAGAACAAGAUGAUGAUGAUGAUGACGACGACGGCGACGCAGCAGUCAACAGUGCCAAACAGCAGUGCAGGAUGACAGCAAAAGCGCAAAGGAAAAAAAAGAAAUAAUUUAAAACACACAUUUUUUUUCGGUGUUGGCCGCAAACGCAGUUUGAUUAGCCAACUCAAACAAAUACUGGCCAACAGAUCGACAAAUGGAAGUCACAUAAGAGCAACACCAAUACACUAACACAGUCAUACACACACACACAUACAUAUACCAACAUUUGUGUGGAGUUUAGUGAGUGCGCGGUUAACAAGAACAAGCCGCGUUAUGCGUACGUCUCGAUUAUACAGCUUAAACAAUAUAAAAACUAAAAAUAAAACGCAUUGCACUGCAGCAACAACAACGAACUGGGCUUUGCUCUAAAUAAGUGCUUGUGUAUGUGUACGCGUGUGUGCGUGUGUCUGUGUGUGUGUUUGACGACCUUUCGAACUGACCAAACGUGCGCCGCCAACUUCAGGCCAGUGCCAAAAACGACGUGCGCCAAUGGAGCAACUGGCGCGUAGCCCAAAGCGGAAACAACAGCAAAAACAACAUCGACGAGCCUUUGUUUCAAACUGGCCGCUAAUGAUUUGUCAGCCACAAUCCAAAUUGGCCUCAAAGCACACGCGUGCGAAACGUCAAAGCAAGCGCAUCAAGCAGCAGCAGCAGCAGCUGGACUUGCAACAUCGCGCAUACGCAGCGUUGUAUCCUCAAAAUAUUCAAUUAUUAUAAUCUAAACUUCAAACUACACGUAGUGUCUAGUGCUUAACGUUCUAAUCACAACAACAAUAUAAAUAAUAAUAUAACAAUUAAAAACGUAGUGUACUUAUAUAAUCAACAAUCAAACUCUUAUAAUCAAUAUAUAAACUUUAGUGCAAUAUUUAUGCAAUAAUCACAAUUAUUACAACUAGUUUGUAACGGUAAUUGAAAGUUCUCGUAGACACAAUUAUUACAUACUCAUGGCUCUAACCAAACAAUGAAAGUUUUGUGCAACAACUUGCAACAUCAAGUGGCAAAGCAGCAAGCACCAACCAAAGUUCAACUUUAUGGAAUGAACAUCUGUAUGCUGAUCAAAGUAGACAAUGCCAUGUGGUAAAGAAGCCUCGUUGCCCAAUUGGCGGCCACAGCCGCUGCAGCAGCUCCUUGGUCUGACCAGCCAAUGACAGCGCAGCGGAUCCAAGUUUGUCACAGUUAAAAGGCAGCACAACGCUUUUGGCAAAGUUACCAAGUCCGAAACACACAUACACAUACAAACACUUUGAUUGCUGCGCUCACACGCGCAUGAGAGGCCGUGAUAAUAAAUCACGCAUACGCCUGUUAGCACAGCAAUACACACAUAGACUUGUGUGUGUGUGUGUGUGUUCGACUGUUUGCCAACUGCAGUUGAGCUGCUCGUUUUUAGUCUGGACUCGAACGAGUGAGCCGUAAGACACAAUUGCACGAACGAUGCCUUCUUUGCGUGCAGCAGCAGCAGCAUACGUCCCCAACCCGACGCAACCCCACACCAACGGCCAAUCCGUGAAACAAGCCAGUAGGAGCACAGCACGCUAGAACGACCGACCAAUCAGAGCGCGGCUUGUGCGCACUACUUGCUUGGGCCAAAUCGCAGCGGGCCAAAGAGCUUUGCCAAUGACGCGUUGCCGAAACUUGCAUUGCUAUAUAACCAUGAUGUAUGUAGUUAUGUAUAUAAUCUGGUAUUAUUCGUAGUUGCAGUUUUAAGUCUUAAACAUUGUAAAUCACAUGCCCAAAGUCGACGUUCGUAAACAACAGCUAAAGUUGAACGUCAUGAAAUCUGAUACAUUAUAAAAAUAAUUAUAUAACUUACAACACUUAUGUAAACCACUUAGAGGUUGAAAUUAACGAUGAAUGCAAAAUGCGUAAGAAAAAGAAUAAAGAAAACAAUUCGUAAAGCUUCUAAGCGGCACGCCAAA
Molecule: long non-coding RNA, 2232 nt
Organism: Drosophila busckii
Lineage: Eukaryota; Metazoa; Arthropoda; Insecta; Diptera; Drosophilidae
Exons: 2
Source: RefSeq, a predicted model, not a curated record